AGAACUCAUCAGAUUAGCGUUGCAACAUCCCAGGAAACUCAGAAACCUGUCCUAAAACCAUGGUGCCCAGAACACAUCCAGCAAGCAAAGCCUUCCUCCUUUUUUGUGUCAUUCAUGUUUAAAGGAGAACAUGCAAAACACACUGGUCCUGUGUGCAAGCAAGAACAGAAUGUGGGACUCCAAGCAGACAUUAAAAUAGGCCCACCCUUAAAGAAUACAAACAGAAGACAGAUUCUAGACCAGGACAGAUUGAAUUAUAGCGAAGUGAAGAUAAAAGAGGCUGGAGAGAUAAAUAAGGCUUCAGGUAGCUGCAGUAUAUUUAUUACCCUGUUAUUUUAACAGACAUUCACAUCUUGAUUCAAAAUACACUUUUGUUACUCUCUACAUCUUUUCCAUUGCCUGGAAACAGCAAUCAACAAAUGAAUGUUUAACCUACCACAAGGUAGGGUGCCUUUGAAAACAGGGAAGAUGGAGAACUUUUUAAGACUGUUCAUGUUUGAGGACCAGUAAGGAAGAAGCCUAAAAACCAUCUAUAGGAGGAAGAGAAUGAAAGGGUAAUUGUAAGCUGCAAGAAGCCAGGUCCGGCAGAGUACUGAAGUGAGGAAAGCCCAGGACCUGGGCACCACAGACAUGAAAAACUGAAGCUGACAACAUGCAACAGGCAGCUCUAGAGGUGAGUCAAAGCAAGAGAGGCAGCCCUGAGCAGCCAGCACACAGCAAGGCAGGAUGGUCCAGUUGUCCAGGAUAGGGGUCACAAAUGCAUAGGGUCUUGGUGAGACGGUCCCCAGGCACCGCAAGGAGGAAUGGGUUUUGGUUUUGUGCAAGUGACAAUGCAGACUGCCUGGAUAUGUCCCCAACUGAGCCACCACAGAAGACAAAGAAGGACUGUGGGAGAGAUGAACAAGGAAAGGAGGUGAGACCCUGGAAAAGAAAUCACAUCAUCAACCAGGGAUGCAAAAAAGGAGACACAGUAGGCAUUCACCUAGAAAGUCUGAAGAAAACAAGGUCAAAGGCAAGAUUAAAAGAGUGAGGUGAAGAUGUAAUUUAAAGGAAAAAAAAAAAGGGAAGAGAAAGGAAGAGGACAAGGUCAGUAGAGAUUUUGGUGAGGGAAGAAUGAAUGAAGCAGGGACUGAGGAGUCUCUUGAUGCAGCAUCAGAGAAGAUGCACUAACUCAGGGCAGCCAACUGUAUCACUUAAGGAAAACAGGGGUAGGGUGGCAUUUCUUUGAGGAAAGAAGCAGUGGAAAGAAGAGUCAAGGAUGGGGGAUGAAGAGAAGGAAACAAAGAGGAGACAGUGGGAUCUUGAUACAGCCAAUAAGCUGAGCAUAAUGUGAAGAAUAUGAGCACUUGUGUGAAACCACUUGACUAACCACCACUGAAUCAGGGCCUGGUUCAGGAGCCUUCCAGUGACAGACUGGGGAAGAAGAUGUGUGAAACACACAGAACACAGUAGUUCAGCACAAAGAAUGGAAACGAAACUUCUAUGCUCACCUCUGAAGAAGCUCUUCUGAAACCUUCUAAGUGACCUCUCACCUCACUUCAUAGAGAAAAUAGAAAAAACGUUUUUACUUGGCCUAUACACUGAUUUCCUGCACACAAGAAACCAUUUUAAUUCAGGCCUCUAGACUGUUUUGC
Cyanistes caeruleus (blue tit) is the source of this 1634-nucleotide non-coding RNA. The record is from RefSeq and is a predicted model, not a curated record. NCBI's taxonomy places the organism in Eukaryota, Metazoa, Chordata, Aves, Passeriformes, Paridae.